Molecule: ribosomal RNA, 510 nt
Filed under: uncultured bacterium
Lineage: Bacteria
Description: bacterial SSU rRNA
Rfam family: Bacterial small subunit ribosomal RNA
Source: RNAcentral
GACGAACGCUGGCGGCGUGCCUAAUACAUGCAAGUCGAACGCACUCUCGUUUAGAUUGAAGGAGCUUGCUCCUGAUUGAUAAACAUUUGAGUGAGUGGCGGACGGGUGAGUAACACGUGGGUAACCUGCCCUAAAGUGGGGGAUAACAUUUGGAAACAGAUGCUAAUACCGCAUAAAACCUAACACCGCAUGGUGUAGGGUUGAAAGAUGGUUUCGGCUAUCACUUUAGGAUGGACCCGCGGUGCAUUAGUUAGUUGGUGAGGUAAAGGCUCACCAAGACCGUGAUGCAUAGCCGACCUGAGAGGGUAAUCGGGCCACACUGGGACUGAGACACGGCCCAGACUCCUACGGGAGGCAGCAGUAGGGAAUCUUCCACAAUGGACGAAAGUCUGACGGAGCAACGCCGCGUGAGUGAAGAAGGUUUUCGGAUCGUAAAACUCUGUUGUUGGAGAAGAAUGUAUCUGAUAGUAACUGAUCAGGUAGUGACGGUAUCCAACCAGAAAGCCACGG